AUGCUGGUUCAGGCUGAUGUGUGCGUGCAUCGCCAAACAAAGAAGCAGGCAUCCACUAGGAAAAAUAUUCAUCGAAGUUCUCAAGUUGAAGUCAAAUUGAUCAGCUACGUUUCAAAGUAUGAGAUGUGGCUCGACGGUAUUUACAUCGCCAAUGCCAAGCGAACCGAGUUCACUAAAAGCAACAAGCAGGGCAGGGUCAAAGUCAUUAUGUUCACCAUGAUGCAGAUUGCCAUCACAUUCAGACCCAAAGAUCUGGAAACUAUGAACUUGAUUAAAAGGGCAGGGUCAAAGUCAAGACCCGGGUUAGUGGCAUGA
Molecule: ribosomal RNA, 315 nt
Filed under: Triticum aestivum (bread wheat)
Lineage: Eukaryota; Viridiplantae; Streptophyta; Magnoliopsida; Poales; Poaceae
Description: partial small subunit ribosomal RNA
Source: RNAcentral